UGAGUAGGAGGGUGUGCAGCCGGGAGGAGGGUAUAUUGAUGCAGCUCCUGUAAUUGUGAUUAAUAACAGCCUGCUAUCUGGGCGCAGACAGGCGGUUUGUCUGCCCACAAUCAACACAUGACAAAUGGAACUAGUCUCACUGGGGUGUGUAGCAAAGAAAACCGAUGUAGUCUGUGAAGGCAAGGUGGGAGGGGCCACCACAGGAAAUCUACAUUAUUCUAACCUGUGUUUACACGAGGUCAGGGUGUGCAGAGAGAAGUAUUCCACCCCCUGAGUCAUUACAUGUUAGAAUCACAUUUGGCAGCGAUUACAGCUGUGAGUCUUUCUGGUUGGGAAACUUCGGAAGGAGUGGAUGAAGGACAGCAUCUCUAACGUGGGCGUCGGGAUGCUCAAGUCCGUUAAGGAAUACGUGGACCCGGAAAACAUUUUCGGCAACCGAAACCUCCUCUAAUUUACAUGACAUUUUAUAACAGCCUCUUGGAAUAAUGGUUACUAAAUGUGACAAGAAGUAUCAAUGUCUUUCACCUUCGGUAUGACUUAGUCAGUUGUGCAGUCAACAUCAGUCAGAUAACUUGCCUUGCAUUACAUUACUGCACUUAACAUGCUGUAACAAUAAUUGUCUGUGAUUCAUUUCGAAGCUCAUGGCAUCAAGUCCUCAGUAAUGUCCUCAACCAGGAUGAUAUGGUGAAUGAAGCAGUCAGGUCCUCAGUAAUGUCCUCAACCAGGAUGAUAUGGUGAAUGAAGCAGUCAGGUCCUCAGUAAUGUCCUCAACCAGGAUGAUAUGGUGAAUGAAGCAGUCAGGUCCUCAACCAGGAUGAUAUGGUGAAUGAAGCAGUCAGGUCCUCAGUAAUGUCCUCAACCAGGAUGAUAUGGUGAAUGAAGCAGUCAGGUCCUCAGUAAUGUCCUCAACCAGGAUGAUAUGGUGAAUGAAGCAGUCAGGUCCUCAACCAGGAUGAUAUGGUGAAUGAAGCAGUCAGGUCCUCAGUAAUGUCCUCAACCAGGAUGAUAUGGUGAAUGAAGCAGUGUAUCAUACUAACGAUAGUACUGUUGAUCAUUUCAGUCACGUGUAUACAACACGCCGUAAGAAUGGCCUUUUCAUAUUGUACAUGAUGCAGGUUAACUUUUUGUGAUCCCAUAUUUGCCUACAAUUUAAUUGUUUCCUAUAAUUCUUGCCAAUUUCAUUAACUAGAUAUUUUUUUGGUAGAUGUUUAUUUACCUGUGUUUGGCACUACUUGAACAGUGAGUUCUAGAUGAAUGCUUUUUCUAAAGCUCUGUGCCUUUCUGAAGAUGUCUAUCUUCACCCUUUCCUACACACACACACUGUGGAAGCUUGACUGGUUUGUUUAUGGCAUCCUAUAUCUUCCCUUAUAAUGUGCGUGUCCUUCAUUCUAGAUUUCCUGUUUUCCAGUGGGUCUUUGUUUCUCUACUCAAGCCUUGUAUUACUUAUACUAUUAAUGAUUGCUAAGAGAUGUGUAUUUUGUUGUACCGACCUAGGAGGAUUUAUAUUACGUUGAAAGUCGUGCCUCUGCUGAAAAUGUACCUCAGGGUAAAAAUGUCCCUCAAACCCAAACGUUAAACUGUUUGAAGAAACUAGGAUAUGAUGCUUAACAACUUAUUUUUUUAAUUGAUGUUUUAUUUUAGAUUUGACCUUGCAUGGUCUUUGCCUGUCAUACAGAGUUCAGUUUGUGGACAAUGUACUUGAAUCAUACAUGCUUUUAGUGUGAACAUGUUACAGACGACUGAAUCCCAAAACCCAUGUUUGUACCAAAGACUUUCAGCACAACUGUUUCACUGCUUUAUACAGACCAUGCAAACAUCCUGGAUGUAUAGGUCUGUACAUGCUGUAUAGUUAAAUGUAUGGGACAUUCAUACAGUUAAUACAUGAACCUAUAACCUGAUUAUACAUAUUUUUAUUCAAUUCAGAUAUGCAAAUUUACAAAUAUCAAAAUGUGUUCAUAUUUGUUACUUUAAAUGUUACAUGUUCAUGUCAAUGAAAAACAUUUUCUUUAAAUUCAAUUACAAUAUUUUGUCACUACUUUAAAAAAAAACAAUUGCCUACAAGCAAGAGAGGUUGUAUUUAGACAAAAAUACAUCCGACUAAAUUGUCUGUUCCCUGGUGAGGGUCCCAGUGUUGUGGUUUUGUUGGAAAGGAUACAUUUGAGUGAAAGAUAAUUGUACCUUUGUCACAAUUUACAGAUGAUUAUGCGUAUAAGUUUGGCGUCUUUGCGAGGCAUGUGUCGAUGUUGUGCCCAAUCCUAAAGUCAGACAUGGGAUUCUACUGUACGGUGCUAGACUAAGAUACAUGAAAUGUAUUGCUACCGUUUUCCUGUCACUACUGCGUGACUGUGUUCCUCCUGUUCUCAGCCUCGCAGUUUUCCCACAGUGCAUUGUCACCUUCCUGCCCAAGUAUCUCACCUCUCCACCUCCAAUGAACAUGUUGUCAAAGGAAAUGGUGGAGCCGGAGACAGCGUUUUAUCUAAUCAGUUUCAUGCUUUUACUUCCUGUGAUGGUUCCUGAAAGAGAACUUAAAUGAGAGCUUGAAAUCUGAAUGUUAUGCAUGUACUUUUUUUUGUGUUAUUUUUCAAUUCUUAAAGUUAUUAACAUUUAAGUACCUUUUAUCAAUGAUGUUUGUGCAGUAAAUACAUUGAAAUAAAACAAGCAGUAGUCUGGAUAUUUUUCAGAUAACAGAAUGACACCAAUCGGUUGAAUAGAAAUGCAGUUGACAGGAAAUGUCUCUGUUUGUCCGUGACGUAAUGCAUAUUCAUAAUAAAGUUCAACAUACGAGGUA
This 2788-nucleotide long non-coding RNA is filed under the name Salmo salar (Atlantic salmon). Its description in RNAcentral is "lncRNA (ENSSSAG00000099704.1)". Lineage: Eukaryota; Metazoa; Chordata; Actinopteri; Salmoniformes; Salmonidae. The record is from RNAcentral.